RNAcentral lists this ribosomal RNA (256 nucleotides) under uncultured bacterium. Its description in RNAcentral is "partial 16S ribosomal RNA". It matches the Rfam family "Bacterial small subunit ribosomal RNA", at positions 524 to 776 of the family's 1533-position model. The record is from RNAcentral.
UACGUAGGGUGCAAGCGUUAAUCGGAAUUACUGGGCGUAAAGCGUGCGCAGGCGGUUGUGUAAGACAGAUGUGAAAUCCCCCGGGCUCAACCUGGGAACUGCAUUUGUGACUGCACGGCUCGAGUGCGGCAGAGGGGGAUGGAAUUCCGCGUGUAGCAGUGAAAUGCGUAGAUAUGCGGAGGAACACCGAUGGCGAAGGCAAUCCCCUGGGCCUGCACUGACGCUCAUGCACGAAAGCCGUGGGGGAGCAAACAGG